AUACGUAGGGUGCGAGCGUUGUCCGGAAUUACUGGGCGUAAAGAGCUCGUAGGUGGUUUGUCGCGUCGUCUGUGAAAUUCCGGGGCUUAACUCCGGGCGUGCAGGCGAUACGGGCAUAACUUGAGUACUGUAGGGGUGACUGGAAUUCCUGGUGUAGCGGUGAAAAGCGCAGAUAUCAGGAGGAACACCGGUGGCGAAGGCGGGUCUCUGGGCAGUAACUGACGCUGAGGAGCGAAAGCAUGGGUAGCGAACAGGAUUAGAUACCCUGGUAGUCCAUGCCGUAAACGGUGGGCGCUAGGUGUAGGGGUCUUCCACGACUUCUGUGCCGUAGCUAACGCAUUAAGCGCCCCGCCUGGGGAGUACGGCCGCAAGGCUAAAACUCAAAGGAAUUGACGGGG
Molecule: ribosomal RNA, 398 nt
Filed under: uncultured bacterium
Lineage: Bacteria
Description: partial 16S ribosomal RNA
Rfam family: Bacterial small subunit ribosomal RNA
Source: RNAcentral